Molecule: ribosomal RNA, 865 nt
Filed under: uncultured bacterium
Lineage: Bacteria
Description: bacterial SSU rRNA
Rfam family: Bacterial small subunit ribosomal RNA
Source: RNAcentral
UCUUGUGCCAGCAGCCGCGGUAAUACGAAGGGGGCUAGCGUUGCUCGGAAUCACUGGGCGUAAAGGGUGCGUAGGCGGGUCUUUAAGUCAGGGGUGAAAUCCUGGAGCUCAACUCCAGAACUGCCUUUGAUACUGAAGAUCUUGAGUUCGGGAGAGGUGAGUGGAACUGCGAGUGUAGAGGUGAAAUUCGUAUAUAUUCGCAAGAACACCAGUGGCGAAGCUGGCUCACUGUUACACAUAUGACACUGAGGCACGAAAGCGUGAGGAGCAAACAGGAUUAGAUACCCUGGUAGUCCACGCCGUAAACGAUGAAUGCCAGCCGUUAGUGGGUUUACUCACUAGUGGCGCAGCUAACGCUUUAAGCAUUCCGCCUGGGGAGUACGGUCGCAAGAUUAAAACUCAAAGGAAUUGACGCGCGCCCGCACAAGCGGUGGAGCAUGUGGUUUAAUUCGACGCAACGCGCAGAACCUUACCAGCCCUUGACAUCCCGGUCGCGAACUCCAGAGACGGAGUUCUUCAGUUCGGCUGGACCGGAGACAGGUGCUGCAUGCCUGUCGUCAGCUCGUGUCGUGAGAUGUUGGGUUAAGCCGCGCAACGAGCGCAACCUCCGUCCUUAGUUGCUACCAUUUAGUUGAGCACUCUAAGGAGACUGCCGGUGAUAAGGCCGCGAGAAGGUGGGCUGACGUCAAGUCCUCAUGGGCGUUACGGGCUGGGCUACACACGUGCUACAUGGCGGUGACGAUGGAUGCUACGGAGACGACCAUACGCAAUCUCAAAAAGCGUCUCAGUUCGAUGGGCUCUGCACUCGAGCCCAUGAAGUAGAUCGCUAGUAUCGUGGAUCAGCACCGCCACGUGAUACGUUCAG